AUGGCAAACAGACAAACAAGCAAAAAAAUAGAGGAGAUGUCAGAUGAUGUCGAAAAUGUCAUCCACUGUUGUGGAAGUGGCAGAAAGGAGCUUGAGUUCUACCUUCAGAGGAUGGAGCUGCCAGUACAACAUAUGUAUGCAUCCAGAAAUCUCAAAAUCAGCGAAAGGUUUCUUCCACUCAGUAAUGAUUUCUGGAAUGCUGAAAUAAUGAUGCCAAGGGCUUUAGAUGGCGGACAUAGUUCUCAGAUAAAUUAUACAUUUGUACCUGGGGAGCAGAAAUUAGGACUGUGUUGUAUUUAUUACUGA
This 306-nucleotide long non-coding RNA is filed under the name Anser cygnoides (Swan goose). RNAcentral describes it as "lncRNA (ENSACDG00005004637.1)". Lineage: Eukaryota; Metazoa; Chordata; Aves; Anseriformes; Anatidae. The record is from RNAcentral.